This 10748-nucleotide long non-coding RNA is filed under the name Homo sapiens (human). RNAcentral's name for it is "HSALNT0080909". Lineage: Eukaryota; Metazoa; Chordata; Mammalia; Primates; Hominidae. The record is from RNAcentral.
GCUCUGAGAGGCAACCAUUUCUAGGGAAAGGUCUUGUCCUCUUAGUAACAACAACAAAAGAAGUCCAUUUUCAAACAUCUAUUAGACAAUGUCAAUCUUUCUUUUCAAUUGUAUGCUUAGCUUAGCAAAGAGAGUCAGGUGGAAUCUCACACCUUGCCCAAAUUGUAUUUGGUGUGAGGCUCUUCAAAGCUUCCAAGACACCAUCCUUCUCCUCUCCCCCUAUCAGUGGAACAGAUAAAACUGGAGCAACCUGCAUUAUUCUAAAACCAUAGAGAUGAUAUUUCUGUUUGCUUUUCUACUCAUUAGGAAGCUCUGAGAGGAUGCAUAAGAAAUGAAUCACAGUGGGUGAAGAAACUGGACAGACUUCAGUGGGUGAGGAAACUGGGGAGACUUUUCACAUGUACAUUUUGGGUAUUUUUAAACCAUGAGAAUUACUGCCUAUUCAUGAAAAAUUAACCUGAGUAGAAUAUAUAUGAGAGAGUUGCUGCUAAAUAUAUUCCACAUAAUACCACAUAUUGAGGAGGAGGAUGUUACCUACUGAAGAUAUGGGAUUGAAAAACAUGCAAUAACUUUCUGUUUUGCUCAAUGGGUCAUAAGUUGAAAAUUAGACUAGAAAAUAUUUGUUCAGAGAAGUACAAAAUCUUAGGUGAGGCAAAAUGCACACUAGUCCUCUCCUCCCUUAUCUUUCCAAAUGGGGAGACUUGUCAGUUUAAAGCCAUUUGCUCCUCCAGUUAAGUUCUAGGAUCGUAGACUUGGAGGACUGGCUGAGCCAUCAGUCCCAAGUGGAAAGGCUAAGCUAAGCAUACAACUGAAAAGAAAGAUUGACAUUGUCUAAUAGAUGUUUGAAAAUUGACUUCUUUUGUUGUUGUUACUAAGAGGACAAGACCUUUCCCUAGAAAUGGUUGCCUCUCAGAGCACUCCCCUUCACAUACAUCCUCUUACACCUUAGCAGCCUGAGCAAUUUUCUCCCUUCCCAAGGCUUUACCUAGGUGUAAAAGUUCUUGUUACUCAUGAACUUUAAGUUUAAAUAAAAAAGGGGGGAGUAAUGAUGUAAACUCUUUUCAUGUUGUAAACUCAGAAACAAAGGGAUCAACUAAGCAGGGUGUGGAACAAUCGACCCCUUCUACCCAUAGGUCAUUAAAUGGCUGCUGGAUGCCAAAAAGAUUUUAAGCUAGAACUGUUUUCCUUUUCAAGAAAUAUGCAAAUAAACAAACAAACUCUACCAAAGGAUAGAGCUCUUCAGGUCAUUCUUUUGUUUAUGUCUCCUGCAGCUUUUCCUGUUGCAUAGUCCCAGCUAAUAAACAACUUAAGCCACUCUUACAGUGAAGUUCAAAUUGCAAAAUAAGAGACUUAACUGUCUUGUUUAAAGGUAUGCUAUAUAUCAAGUCACAAGGCAAUAAUAUCUAUUCUAUCCUUUUGCGGCAAUAAACAGACCCGCCCCAAAACACAAAAUCAGAUGGCCUUUUCCCACAAAGGCAGGUGGUUAACAAUAGGAUUUCCAAAGGGCACUCAUUUAUGUUGGAAGCUGAUAGGCAUUUCACAUAGUGACCAGGAGAAAGAAUGGGUCAAUGUUUGUAAUACCCAAAAAGGUGGCAACUGGGGGAAACGGUGGGGCAGGAAGGAAAUGGAAGGGAGUUGAAAGCAUCCUUGGUUUCCCCAGCUGUUUGCAGAAGUUGGAACAUACGGUGCCAGGAUUUUUCCAAGAUGGCAAGGGAUAGAAAGUAAAAUUAUUACCCCCUGCCCCCCGCCAAAGAAUGCCUUCCAACAAAUAAAGAUGUAUUCGCAGUUUGGAGACUUUUCUCCUUCCACAGGAAAUGAGCAGAGGUCACUUAGAACCAAUUCUCAUCAUUUAGUAAAAAUAACAGGGUGAUAAUAGAAGCAACAGAAGGAGUCAAGGUGUUUGUGCUAAAAAAAAAAAACUUUAAGUUCAGGCCUGGCCUGGAGUGGGAAUAUCCAAAUGGGUUCUUCAUAUUUCAAGUUUUAUAGACAGUCUUUUCCCUAAAGGAUAUACUUUCAUUAGGUCAUAAAUGCACCAACAGAUGAGAGAGGGAAAGAGGUGUGUGUGUGUGUCUGUGUGUGUGUGUGUGUUUGCAUGUGGCCAGAAUGGCAGAGCAGGUAUGGAGGUCAGGCUGUGCGGGGAGGUGGUGGGGCUGUGUGUCACCCACCUGUGAGGGCAGCAGCCAGGGACUACGACUUCAGGUGGCCCUCUGUGCCUAGGCUUCUCCUUGGUUAUCUUAGUUCUCAGGUUUCCCGUGGGUUCCACUGAGGCUCCUAAUUGCUCCAAAUCCAGGCAUUUACUUGCCUAAAGGCCACAAGAAGUGGGGUGGGGACGUAUCUUUUUCAGAGAGUUUGUUAAAAAUUUAACUCAGAGAAGUGUAUUAGUUGGGGCCUCAAUGCCUGAACUUGGGUGGGAGAAAAAUGGGUUGUUUGGCGACUUUCAUUUCUCGCUGGACCCCAAUUCCCCAGAUUGGAGAGGUUUACCUCCUCCAAAACCCAAGGGGCCCAACUGGGUGCCCCUCGGGGGCCAAUGCUCUUCAUCUUCCCACUCCCUGUUCCAUGCAAGAGAGGACUUUGCAGACAGAAUCGUCCUGACCCGAUAGCCACGUAGGCUUCCUUCCGAGCACUUCUCAAAGUGAGUCUGGGUUUUGCUACCAGUAUCAAUUAGCCGCUUCUGGCGAAUCCCAGAGAAUGUUUAAUUAACUCCACAGCUCUGAUUCACACUUACAGGUUGGUAGCAGUUUAAAAUUAUUGUAAAACACCACCCGGAUAAUAUAUUUACUUUUUGUCUAGGCCAGAUUAGCAAGACACGCGCACACACUCUACGUUUAAGUCACACCCUGCAAUGCAGAGAAAAUAUUUCAAUAGGCAUCUGCAGGCGGCCGAGAAGAACUGGAGCAAUGAUUAUUUUCCUCCUUUUUUGAUUUUCUGUUUCUAAAGAAAGCACUGGUAUCAAGGACGAGUUAGGUAAUGCGUAUUAAAAGGCAAGCAGGUCGCUCUCGUUUACGCCCAAUCAUAGUUCAUAGUUCAAGGAAAACUGCCUUUAAUUGACACCGUGUAUAUUCCUCUGCUCCUCUCAGGCUGCCCUGGCAGGGACGCCCCAAGAGUAUUUAUUUCUAGGGUUGGAAACAAAACAACCAACCCCGUCUACUGCGUAAGAGAGCGUUCCAAGAUGGACUGCCGGAGAAAGGCUUUUUGACCCCUGUGGAAAUUAGUCAUAUUGACAGACGCCCAGGGAAGGUAAAUUACCCCGCGCGCUGACGUUACGCAGAGGCGCACCGGGUUCCGACUCCACCGCGGCGCCGAGGGGGCCAGAGGCUCCCAGUUCUUCCCCGCAUAGUUCGACAAAGCCCUACUUUGCUUCCCUGGGUCUGGGAUCUCAACGUGAAGGGGGCCGAGAGAGCGGUGAUAAGGUGCUAGAAAGGAAACGGCAAGAGGAAACUAAAAAAGUGGAGAGAAAUUUUGUGCGCCGUAGUGCUUAGCAAGCUGGGGAAACGAGGAGAAAACGAGCAAAGUCUACAGGGGAGGGAGAGAGGGAGGAGGCAGGGAAGGAGAGGACCACGAGGCUCCCGGCGCCCAGGCCGCCACUUGGGAGGUCCCGGCCCCAAAGCAGGCCGGGCCAACCGUCCCCCCGGGAGGCUCGGGGCUCGGGCGGGGUCACAAUUACACCUCGGCUCCAGGCGAGGACUUAAAAACCAAGUGGUGGGGACUGCAGUCUGGAAGCAAGGCCCUGCGGUCAUCGGAGGGGGGCCAGGCCCGUGCACAGGAACCUUUUACAAGGCAUGUGGGUACAAGAAAAAAAAUCAAAAUAAACCACUUUCAUCCAGCAUGGGCAGUGAAAAGAAAAGCUGCCUUCCAGAGGGGGCGAGCGGGAGUUUUGAAAUUCAUUGUGUGUUUUGCCUUUAUAUAAGGAGUUUUGCGUUUUUUACCGAUAACCAAAGGGGGACACUAGGGGGAAGUAACUGCUAUUUUUUUUUUCUGGAGAGGGCUGAAAUAAGGGGUUCACCGGUUCUUUCACAAUCAGAUGGUGUCCCAGGACUGCAAGUAACUGCGUACAUCCACACAGCGCAUUACACCAACCUGAGAAGAAUCCUUGCGUGACCGGAUUGUUUCUGAACCUGCCGAGCCCCUGCUGCAUCUGGGACCCGCCUUCACCGUUUCCCAAUCCCAGCGGUUAGCCCCUGCGCCCCCUUUUUGGUCUCCACUUUGCCGUUCGAAAAUGCCUAGGUUGGUGGAUCGACCCUCCGCGGAGCAAAGACGGAUGGCUGGCAGGAGCAGGUUCAGGAGCUGGGCCAAGUUUCACACGAAGAGACUUGGAGUAUCUGGAGAAGGUUUUUGAAGACGUUUAGGAGGGAGGGUGAGUUUUCUGCUGAGAAACUCAAUCUGCCAUACAGUAGCGGCCCCAUCUGGGAUCUGUCACUGCUGACAGCACCAGAGGGCACAGCCGUGAUCUUCUGCACAGCCUGCACUCCCCGAAAUACCCUCCUUAAUCAAAGGAUGUCUGCGCGCCUGAGCUCAGCUGACCGCGCCGGGAGCACCAGGGCCGUUGGAUUCCACCCCAGCCCGCCCCCUCCCCACGCACACAGCCACGGCCCCUCGCGUCUUCGCGGCACGUUAAUUAAAUGCGGAAAACAGACAGAGGCUGAUGUCAUUGCUCUCACAAGAUCAUAAACGUAAAAGAGUCAUCCUGUGAGAAUCCCUGAAAAUGACUUUAAUGAAUAAUUUCAGAGACAGUUAUGACUUUGGGUGAUUACUGAGCAAGAAUAUGAAAACCAGAUUUGCAAAGCGAAGGCGAUGGUCAAAAGGCCUGGCAGUUACUUUCUCUCAUUAAAACCGCACCGGCUUUCCUUCUUCGCCAAGUACUAGUUACCAACUGAGGUUGCGUUUUCAGGUUUUCUUCUUCAAAAUAACAGUCUUCUUUUCCUGCUUUUCUGCCUUAUCCUAAAGACAAAAUGUCAGCUCCAGGGAACGACAUUAACAACCCACUUUAAAUUGAAGGCAACUCUGCACUGGCGUCAGUGGCCAUUGGCUUCCAUCUUUUUACAAAGGUUGGAUUUACUGCCAUCUUAGGAUCAUAUCUCUUUUGGCCUCUUCUCUAGGCAAUGUAUUUAAUGAAGGUUGAACAUUCUCACUGACCCUGAGUCAGUGCACUGUUUGUUGUAAAGGAUCUCAGCUGGUGGGGCAAAAAACAAGUUCCAAACAACCUGCCUUUACAGAAGAGUCUCCCUGACUCUUUAGUUCUAGGUCACCAAUGAACUGAAAAAUGAUUUGGUGCUACAUUAAGGAAUAUUUUCAAACACUCCAUCUGGCCAUGGAGAAGCAUCCAGUUGGUUAUAUCUGGUUGCUCAUGCAUUAAAAAUACUAUUUGAGAAAACAACUAGGGUGUUAGUUGUGGAAGUGGCCUGGUGAGUACCCUCUGAUCUUUUGCACGAAGUUUAGCUGCCUGCAAGUCUGUCUUCUUUGCUUGAAAAUAUAAACUGGGACUCUCUGGGCCUGUGUCCCAUGUGGAUUUAUUCCACUUAAUUCAAGUAAAAGUUUGUUUAUACUCUGAGCAAGAAAGUAUUAUAGGCACAAGUGAUGUGGAGUUUUCAGUUUGCUUGUUUUUUGCUGUUGUUUGUUUGCUUUUGAGCGAUCUGAGUGAUUUAGAAAACUAAUGUGUCUCAGUCGGCUCCACCAUUCAGACAGAUCAUAGAGAACCCACUUACCAGCACUCUAGAAAACUGUACUUUGUGCAGACAUUGCCUGAUCCUCCCCUUUCUAGAAGCACAGAUAGGCCAGAAUCCUUCAGUCACUGAGGACACAAUUGUCUAAAAGCCUCAUUCCCUAUCAUUAGCCCCCAAACCGCAGAGCUGUUUCCUUCCCUCUUGGCUCCAGAUAGGGGUGGGUGGGAGAGGGGACUAGGCUCUCCAUGUGACAUUUCCCUGACUUGAGAGGAAAUGUUUCUUUCUGAUUCUAGAUUACAUGAAGACACUUUGGAGUUGGUGUAUAGGGUUUCCUCAAAGAACUGAGGUAACGUGGACUUUAGGGAAUUUUCCUCAAUUGGAUUCCCUGUUUAUUUGUGAUACUAUUUGUGUCCCCCAAAUAGAUCUUCUUGUUGCUCCACUCACAUCAUGAGCAGUUUUCCUUUUCCUCUAGUUACAUUCACUCUAGCUUCUGACUGAAGACUCUGCUUGCCCUUUGUAGCCCGUGCAGGAAUAAACAGCAUCUUCUGGAUUUGCUUUGAAUCCUUGUGCUGCCCAAUGAGUCAGAGGUGUAGGGUUGAUCCAAUAAUAUGGCUAAUUCUCUCCCUGUAAAGACUUUAAAUAAUGUAGGCCUCUCUUCACCCAUCCCCCAUUCUCACCAUCCUGGACUUCACGCGGGUCAUGGAGAAGGUGUCCAGGGUGGGAGGCACGCUGGGUGGGUGUGGCCUCCUUUGGCACAGUGGUUCGGCAUCCUCUGGGGGAGAUUUUGAAAACUGCAGGCUCCGCGUCGAGCCCCUGACCUGCUGAAUCAGAAUUUCUGGUGAAGGUAGGGUGAAAACGGGGCUGAAUUUGUCAUUGUAUCAAGUUGUCCGGGGAGUGGAAAGUCCAGGUGUUGGAUUAAUCCCAGCACCCCUUACUUCAGAAGAGACCAGGCUAUCCCGCAGAACGCUAGGGUCAGAGGUCUGGGGCAUCAGUCAGCCCGUCCAGGAAUUAUGCAAAUAUAUGCAGCCUCUACUCUGAACACUGGGACGUAGUAGGGGACAAAGCUGCCGCCAGCCGUCCUCGUCCUUGCGAGGUGUCAGUGUUUGCGCCAGGGACAACUCCCUGGAGGGCUGGGGGAAGGGAGGGGCAAAAGAGGGUCCAGGGCCUCAGCUCGCUAUGUACUUUAGGGUUUAAUAACAGGUGCAAAGGCAGCUGCUAAAAGACAUCGCAUUCUGUAAUCAGCUUCUGCCAGGCUGUCCGGCUAAACAGAAACUCCCACAAUUUUGGCCCGAGGGCUGUAGGGCGGAGCGGGUGCCAGUGAGAUGAGGGCAACCCUAAGAGGUGGCAUAAGAGCCUUACCCCUAAGAGCCACCCCAACCCCAUCCGGGGCUUGCACCGGCACCGCCUGGGCCGCAGUUGUUGCCUCAGGGAAGCUUCGCCCUGGCGCAGGGAUAGAGCAAAGAAGCGACCGCAUGUGGAAGGCUUUCCAGGCGGAAUGCUCCAGCCGUAGCGAGUUGGAAAAUUUAGAGUGGGGAGGGGGCAGUAGAGAUGUUAACUGGCCCCUCCUCACCCCAAACAAGGAAAACACAGUCUUCUGGGCUAAAAAUACAUAUUUAUGAAGUCCCUAUACGCAGGCAGGCGGCGCGUUCCAGCUGCCGGCCUGGCCCAGGGAGGACUUGGCCGCGCGGCCGCCGAUUACACCCAACUCGGCUGGGAUGGCUCCGAGCCGUCUGCCCUGACGUCAGCGAGGCUCCGGCCCCGCCGCGGCAAGAUAGGCGAGCGCGGCCGGGCGCGGGUGCGGCACUAAUCACUCCCAGAUGUCCCUAAUAGCGGAGAUAAAGACGGACAGAGCGGCCGGGAAUAAAUUUGUAAUCAGGGCUCUACCAUCUGAUCAUCAAAGCGGCCCAAAUGCCGGGAGAAUUUGAAGGGAAUGCGUGUGAGGGGGGUCGCUUGGGGGAAGAGGUGAGGGUGCACUUCGCGAUGGGAACUGGCUUCGGUAGGGUAGAGCAGGGAGAACAGGGCGAGAGAUCUGUAAGUUCGGUGCACGUAAGUCGGAUACUCGGUGCUCUUUAACCUCCAUUAGCCCUCAGACCGAAGCCGUUUAGCGGUUCCAGGCUGAUUGGAGCUGCGCAGUUGCUGUGCGGGAAGCACGCGUUGCGCAGCGGCUGGGUGGUAAGGCGGCGCGAUGAGAACUGUCCGGCCCCCGGAAACGUGGGAUUGGUUUCCUCUCCCGGAGUUCUCCCCUCCCCCUUCUUUCUAAACAUUUAAAAAACACGUAGUCCGUCUCCCCCAACCCCCAUUCCCGGUAGACUUAAUCCCAACAGCAAUUCAUUGCACCGCGGAGCUUCCUCAGGGAGGGGGCUGUUGGAGCCUCCAACCAGGGUCCUGGGCCCCAGUCUGAGAAUGACUCCUGGGUUUUUCUCUCCAAGCGAUCCGCAGGCUCUGACAGGCCAGGAGUCGCGCGCGUCCGGGAGACUCCUUAGCGCCCCCUCCUCACGUGGAGAUCUGGACUCUCAGGAGCUGGGCCCAAUGGAAGGAAUGGGUACCCUUGGGUCACCAGGGUCCAGAUUCGGCCCUCUACGGCGCCCAUGCCACAAGCCUCCCUCAAGACCAUCUCUGCUUGGCACCCACUAGCCAGCUCCUUUUCCAAAUCUAGGAGCCUGGGUGGGACUCACAGGCAGGGAGAACUCAAGGCGGCUGUGGAAAACAAAAUCGCGUGCCGCCCGCGCAAUAUUUGAUUAAAGCUUCAGGGCUAACUGAGCGGUUUCUUGCGCUUUGCAGGCCCGCAGUGUAUGUUCAGUCCCAGUUUUCCUGGCACCCUUUGCCCUGCUUAUGUCCCCUGCACACACCUCAGGCCCUUGCAACUGGCCCGGGUUCUCUCUGCAAAUCUGUAGUCUGGGAAGGAACUCCCGGGUCUCGUACUCCCUGCCGCUUUGCAUUUGAGCUCUCACCUUCCUCACCCCUUCCUGCGAAUUCCAGGUGCGCUUACCUCUCUUGUUCUCCUGCUACUUCACCAAUCCGAGCGGGAGACUAGCUCUGCAAUUCACGCCAAGCUGGGGCAGCGGCUAGCAGAGUCUGGUCGAAGGAAUUGAACCACCUUCCACUCCCGACACACGCACAAGUGCUAAGAGGCCCCCAGGCUGCGCUCCCUGGCACGGCUGCUACGCUCACCUCAUCACGACCAAGCAGCCUGGUGCUCCUACACCUAAGGAGGCAACCCAGACCCAGAGGUCCACCCUUCCUAGAUGCCUGGGCCUGCUGGCUAACCCAUCCCGAAAGCUGGAGCUUGCUGUCUCGGCCUGGAAAAGCCCUUUAAGUUGCUGUCAGUGCCCAGGCAAUUGGGAGCGGGGCCCCCACUCUGCAGUUUUUCAAAUUGCUUCCCAAGCUGAGAAGGGGUUUGCGCGCGCGCACACACACACACACACACACACACACACACCGUCUACAACUGGCCAAGCCUUUGCCCCUCCGGUGCUCCAGGGUUAUCAGACGCUGGGCCUGCACAGCGGUCUGGGGCAGAGCCCUGACAGCCAGAUCUACCAUCAAUUUACCUUCCGCCGCCGCAGCUUCCCAUUUAGCUUUUAACGUCAAAUCCUACAUUUUUGUCGGCUCCGGCCUGUCUAGAACGCUUGUGAUUUCCCUGCAGGAGUGAUUGCUCUUAACAAAAUGGCAGCAACCACAUUAUCCGAGCAAUUAAAACAGAGGCCUUUUAGCCGGUCCCGCAAGUAGAGGCUUGGAAAAUUUUUUUAAACAAAGAAGAAAAAGUUAAAAGAGAAAUAAGUGUUGGAAGAGAAAAGCAUGGAAGCUCAGAAGAAACGUCUGCCCAGUACGCCUUUCACUUCCUGGGACUUGACAACCUGGGGCGGGGAUGUUGGGUGGCUGAGAGCGGCUGGGGUGACAGAUAAUCUGGGGUGUCCUGCAGGUUGAAGCAUCUGGUCAGUUGGGGUGUGCGUCUGGUUAGGGGGUUCAGCCGCCUGCAGUGUCAGGCAGCUGGGCAUUCUGCCGUCUGGGGUGUCCGGUCUGCUGGGUGUCUGGCUGGUUAGGGUUUCUGGCGAGUUGAAAUGGCAGGGCGGGUGGGGUGACCAGGCCUAGUGUUGCUGGCCCUGAGGAAGAGGAGGCAGGCUGUGCUUGGCCGGGGCCAAAGAGGAGCGCAGGUUUAAAAAGCAAGUGUAUUAGCAAGUUUCUCCGUAGCAAUGGUGCGCCAGGGUCUUUUGGUUUCCCUCUGUUGUUGUUUAAUAAGCCAGAGAAAGUGUUAAAUCUGCAGAAGUGCCUUAAGGCCCAGAUGGCGGAGACCAGCUACACAAGGUGCAGAGAAGCGUAGGUGCAUGGUGAAGAUAACUCCUCUCCGUUUCCUGUUUUUAAAACCUCACCUCCUCCGCCACUGUUUACUCCAACACUUUGGUAGGCUCCUUUCUUCCACGUCUAGGACCUGAUGGCUUUCUCCUGAGCAGAUUAAAAUAAAGACGCGGAAGACAACUGGAAUCAGGAGAGGGAGGGAACCACUGGAUCAAACGCAGGAGGAUUGGGAGAGCAACAGAAAAUCAGGGCGCGCCUCCCCCACACCUCCUCCCCAUGCUAUAAACAAAGCCUCCUCCCCCCUUCCCGCAGCCUGCACAGGCACUUUAGUUUCUCCGGUUUCUAGAGCUGAGAUUCAAGCUUCCGCCAAGGCUGCAGGCAAAGGAGGCCGCUGGGACUUUCUUCUGGGACGAGCUGGGACUCAGGGAGCCCAAAGACCCAACAGGGAGAGAUCCCGGGUCCCGUGCUGCCGGUAGUCCCGGAAGGGUGUCGCUUGUUUCGCUGGGCUGCGGCCGGGAAGACUUCAGACACCGCACAGUUAAUAUUGAGUUCCCUGUAACUCCUUGUAAAUCUAACCCGCCCCUCGCCCCUCUUUAAAUCCGUGGUCUUGUUCACGAUUUCUUACUUGACGUAAAAUUCCUUGUUACCUAAUCAUGGACUUUUUCGAAACUCCCUCCACCCCCCUUUCCCGCCUGCUCAGAUGAGAAGCCCCCGUAUAGAAUACAAGCAAAAUCCUCUCCUCUCUUUUCUUUUUCCUUUUUUUUUUCUUGGAUGAAAGCCCCAUAGUUUGAA